UAGGGAAUCUUCGGCAAUGGGGGGAACCCUGACCGAGCAACGCCGCGUGAGUGAAGAAGGUUUUCGGAUCGUAAAGCUCUGUUGUUAAGGAAGAACGAGUGUGAGAAUGGAAAGUUCAUGCUGUGACGGUACUUAACCAGAAAGGGACGGAUAACUACGUGCCAGCAGCCGCGGUAAUACGUAGGUCCCGAGCGUUGUCCGGAUUUAUUGGGCGUAAAGCGAGCGCAGGCGGUUAGAGAAGUCUGAAGUGAAAGGCAGUGGCUCAACCAUUGUAGGCUUUGGAAACUGUGUAACUUGAGUGCAGAAGGGGAGAGUGGAAUUCCAUGUGUAGCGGUGAAAUGCGUAGAUAUAUGGAGGAACACCGGUGGCGAAAGCGGCUCUCUGGUCUGUAACUGACGCUGAGGCUCGAAAGCGUGGGGAGCGAACAGG
This 429-nucleotide ribosomal RNA is filed under the name Bacteroidota bacterium. RNAcentral describes it as "Bacteroidetes bacterium partial 16S ribosomal RNA". It matches the Rfam family "Bacterial small subunit ribosomal RNA", at positions 355 to 776 of the family's 1533-position model. Lineage: Bacteria; Pseudomonadati; Bacteroidota. The record is from RNAcentral.